UUGCUUGCUUUGGUAGCACAUAUACUAGAACUGGGAUGAUAUAGAGAAGAUUAGCAUGGGCUCUGCACAAGGAUGACAUGCAAAUUCAUGAUGCAUUCCACAUUUUU
Cavia porcellus (domestic guinea pig) is the source of this 107-nucleotide small nuclear RNA. The record is from Ensembl. NCBI's taxonomy places the organism in Eukaryota, Metazoa, Chordata, Mammalia, Rodentia, Caviidae.